Molecule: transfer RNA, 79 nt
Filed under: Hyphomicrobiales bacterium
Lineage: Bacteria; Pseudomonadati; Pseudomonadota; Alphaproteobacteria; Hyphomicrobiales
Description: tRNA-Pro
Rfam family: tRNA
About the family: Transfer RNA (tRNA) molecules are approximately 80 nucleotides in length.
Source: RNAcentral
CGGGGCGUAGCGCAGCCGGGGUAGCGCAACUGGUUUGGGACCAGUGGGUCGGGAGUUCAAAAUCUCUCCGCCCCGACCA